Molecule: long non-coding RNA, 524 nt
Filed under: Solanum tuberosum (potato)
Lineage: Eukaryota; Viridiplantae; Streptophyta; Magnoliopsida; Solanales; Solanaceae
Description: long non-coding RNA (STUB_LNC001246)
Source: RNAcentral
UUAAGUUUGGUCCUUGUUCACCAGAGGUGCAUAGUAGUUGUCGAUGCAGAAGCUCAGAGUUUGCAGAAAUCAUCACAGCACAACUGAUGUUGAAGCAGGAUAAGAAAUCAUUCUGCCACCUAAGCCAAUGAUGGACUUCUCCAGAACUCUCUCUGUGCAUACAAAGAGUUCUUGCUAAAGGAGAGCAGUACUUGCAACCUAUUCUAAGUUCUAAUAGCACAAGACUUGAGGUGGGAGUCAACUGCUUUAGUCAUUUUGAAGGCUAGGUGUAUUGCAUAUUUGUUUAGUUGGUCCAAGUUGUAUCCAGCUGUAAAUGCAGAACAACUUCAGGAUUUUAUUAACUCACUAGUUCUGGCUAAGAUAGUUUGUUUAGUUAGCCAGAGAAUUAUUGUAAGCUCAAAUGCCAUAUCUUGUAAUUCUUGCAUCUUCUUGAUGUUGUUACUAAUACCACUUAAUAUAUCAAAAAAAAUAAUAGCACAAGACUUGAGGUGGGAGUCAACUGCUUUAGUCAUUUUGAAGGCUAG